RNAcentral lists this ribosomal RNA (411 nucleotides) under uncultured prokaryote. RNAcentral describes it as "bacterial SSU rRNA". It matches the Rfam family "Bacterial small subunit ribosomal RNA", at positions 505 to 918 of the family's 1533-position model. The record is from RNAcentral.
GUGUCAGCCGCCGCGGUAAUACGGAGGAUGCGAGCGUUAUCCGGAUUUAUUGGGUUUAAAGGGUGCGUAGGCGGACUUAUAAGUCAGUGGUGAAAACCUGCAGCUUAACUGUAGAACUGCCAUUGAUACUGUUAGUCUUGAGUGUGGUCAAGGUAGGCGGAAUGUGUAAUGUAGCGGUGAAAUGCUUAGAUAUUACACAGAACACCGAUUGCGAAGGCAGCUUGCUGGACCGUUACUGACGCUGAUGCACGAAAGCGUGGGGAGCAAACAGGAUUAGAUACCCUGGUAGUCCACGCCGUAAACGAUGAUCACUCGCUGUUGGCGAUAUACAGUCAGUGGCUAAGCAAAAGCAUUAAGUGAUCCACCUGGGGAGUACGGCCGCAAGGCUGAAACUUAAAGGAAUUGACGGGG